This 439-nucleotide long non-coding RNA is filed under the name Cotesia glomerata. RNAcentral's name for it is "uncharacterized LOC123264875, transcript variant X1". The record is from RNAcentral. Lineage: Eukaryota; Metazoa; Arthropoda; Insecta; Hymenoptera; Braconidae.
AUUCCCACAUAAAUAUUUAGAAAAAAAAAAAAUUUAUUACAAAUAGAAAUUUACAAAGUGAUUUAUAUAAAUGCUUAGAGAAUUUUAUGUGACAGUUUUCAAACUACAGCAGAAUGAUUAAAAAAAGACUAAAAAACUAAAUAUCAGCGGAUAAGCUAUACUCUGACUGACGCUUGCCCGUCUGCAGGCAACAAUUGUUCACGAACUCGUGUACGCACUGCAUGUGCUUUAAAAGUUUUUUUUAAAUAUAUAAUAAUAUUUAUUAAUAAUACUCAAUUGUUAUUAUUAUUUCCAUUAUUCAUGAUAAAUUUAACGCAAGUUGGAUCAAAAUACAUUCAAUGAAGAAGAGAUUUCACAAGAUUAAAUUUGUGAUAAACUUACACCAACUCCAAUAAAGUUAAAUUUAGUAAUAGUCACAUUAUUAUUAUAAGCUACAUAA